Molecule: ribosomal RNA, 434 nt
Filed under: uncultured bacterium
Lineage: Bacteria
Description: partial 16S ribosomal RNA
Rfam family: Bacterial small subunit ribosomal RNA
Source: RNAcentral
AGCGAACGCUGGCGGCAGGCCUAACACAUGCAAGUCGAACGAACCUUUCGGGGUUAGUGGCGGACGGGUGAGUAACACGUGGGAACGUGCCUUUAGGUUCGGAAUAACUCAGGGAAACUUGUGAUAAUACCGAAUGUGCCCUUCGGGGGAAAGAUUUAUCGCCUUUAGAGCGGCCCGCGUCUGAUUAGCUAGUUGGUUGAGGUAAUGGCUCACCAAGGCGACGAUCAGUAGCUGGUCUGAGAGGAUGAUCAGCCACAUUGGGACUGAGACACGGCCCAAACUCCUACGGGAGGCAGCAGUGGGGAAUCUUGCGCAAUGGGCGAAAGCCUGACGCAGCCAUGCCGCGUGAAUGAUGAAGGUCUUAGGAUUGUAAAAUUCUUUCACCGGGGACGAUAAUGACGGUACCCGGAGAAGAAGCCCCGGCUAACUUCGUG